RNAcentral lists this ribosomal RNA (427 nucleotides) under uncultured beta proteobacterium. RNAcentral's name for it is "bacterial SSU rRNA". It matches the Rfam family "Bacterial small subunit ribosomal RNA", at positions 355 to 774 of the family's 1533-position model. The record is from RNAcentral. Lineage: Bacteria; Pseudomonadati; Pseudomonadota; Betaproteobacteria.
UGGGGAAUUUUGGACAAUGGGCGAAAGCCUGAUCCAGCCAUGCCGCGUGAGUGAAGAAGGCCUUCGGGUUGUAAAGCUCUUUUAGUCGGAAAGAAAGAGUUGCAAUGAAUAAUUGUGAUCUAUGACGGUACCGACAGAAAAAGCACCGGCUAACUACGUGCCAGCAGCCGCGGUAAUACGUAGGGUGCGAGCGUUAAUCGGAAUUACUGGGCGUAAAGGGUGCGCAGGCGGUCUUGCAAGUCAGAUGUGAAAGCCCCGGGCUUAACCUGGGAAUUGCGUUUGAAACUACAAGGCUAGAGUGCAGCAGAGGGGAGUGGAAUUCCAUGUGUAGCAGUGAAAUGCGUAGAGAUGUGGAAGAACACCGAUGGCGAAGGCAGCUCCCUGGGUUGACACUGACGCUCAUGCACGAAAGCGUGGGGAGCAAACA